AUGAACGCCGGCGGUGUGCCUAAUACAUGCAAGUCGAACGCGUUGGCCCAAUUGAUUGAUGGUGCUUGCACCUGAUUGAUUUUGGUCGCCAACGAGUGGCGGACGGGUGAGUAACACGUAGGUAACCUGCCCAGAAGCGGGGGACAACAUUUGGAAACAGAUGCUAAUACCGCAUAACANCGUUGUUCGCAUGAACAACGCUUAAAAGAUGGCUUCUCGCUAUCACUUCUGGAUGGACCUGCGGUGCAUUAGCUUGUUGGUGGGGUAANGGCCUACCAAGGCGAUGAUGCAUAGCCGAGUUGAGAGACUGAUCGGCCACAAUGGGACUGAGACACGGCCCAUACUCCUACGGGAGGCAGCAGUAGGGAAUCUUCCACAAUGGGCGCAAGCCUGAUGGAGCAACACCGCGUGAGUGAAGAAGGGUUUCGGCUCGUAAAGCUCUGUUGUUAAAGAAGAACACGUAUGAGAGUAACUGUUCAUACGUUGACGGUAUUUAACCAGAAAGUCACGGCUAACUACGUGCCAGCAGCCGC
This 533-nucleotide ribosomal RNA is filed under the name Limosilactobacillus fermentum. RNAcentral describes it as "bacterial SSU rRNA". It matches the Rfam family "Bacterial small subunit ribosomal RNA", at positions 29 to 518 of the family's 1533-position model. Lineage: Bacteria; Bacillati; Bacillota; Bacilli; Lactobacillales; Lactobacillaceae. The record is from RNAcentral.